CCGGCGACCGGCGCACGGGUGAGUAACACGUAUGCAACCUGCCCUCUUCAGGGGGACAACCUUCCGAAAGGGAGGCUAAUCCCGCGUAUAUCGGUUUCGGGCAUCCGAGAUCGAGGAAAGAUUCAUCGGAAGAGGAUGGGCAUGCGGCGCAUUAGCUAGACGGCGGGGUAACGGCCCGCCGUGGCGACGAUGCGUAGGGGUUCUGAGAGGAAGGUCCCCCACACUGGUACUGAGACACGGACCAGACUCCUACGGGAGGCAGCAG
Molecule: ribosomal RNA, 265 nt
Filed under: uncultured bacterium
Lineage: Bacteria
Description: partial 16S ribosomal RNA
Rfam family: Bacterial small subunit ribosomal RNA
Source: RNAcentral